This 1428-nucleotide ribosomal RNA is filed under the name Thienemanniella xena. RNAcentral's name for it is "16S ribosomal RNA". The record is from RNAcentral. Lineage: Eukaryota; Metazoa; Arthropoda; Insecta; Diptera; Chironomidae.
UUAUUUAUUUUUUUUAUAAAAAAAAUUAUUAAUUUAUUUGUAUUUAAAUUAGUUUAUUUAAUUUGUUUUAUUAAAAAUAAUUUUAGAUUAAUUUUUAUUUUUAGUAUAGUUUAUUAAACAAAUAAAAUUUAUUAUAAGUUAAUAGUAUUGAAAAAGAAAGUUGAAAUAGUUUAAAAAUUUAAUUUUUAAAAAGAAAAAUUAAAUUUUUGUACCUUGUGUAUCAUGAUUGAUUUAAUAAAUUUUAAUAAAUUUAUUUUUCUCGAAUUAAAAAGAUUUAAUUUAAAAUUAUAUUUUUUUGUAUAAAAAAAAUUAUAAAUUUUUAAUUAGAAAUAAAAAGUUAAUCGUUUUUUAAGUUAUCUAGUUUUUUAAGAAAUAAAUUAAAUUUAUUUUUAAAAAUAAUAUUUUUAAUUUUAAUAGUUUUUAAAAUUAAAUUAUUUUAUUUUUUAAUUUAAAUAUUUAAAGGGAUGAUCUUUUAAAUAAAAUUUUAUAAUUGAUUAAACUUUUGUUAAAAUUAAAUAAUCUUAAAAAUAGAUAUUUUUAAAAAAUAUGUUUUUAUUUAAUAAUUUUUAAAAAAAAUAUUUUUAUAAAAAUUUAAUUUUUUAUUAAAAUAUUUAUUAAAAUUUAAAAAAUAAAAUAAAAAUGAUUAAAUUAGUAAAAUUUUAAAAAUUUUAAAAUUGUCUAUAAAUUAUUUAAUUUUUUUUAAAUAAUUCAGCAAAAUUUUUUAUUUAAAUGUUUAACAAAAACAUUGUUUUUUAAAUUAAAAAUCUAUAAAAAAUAUAACCUGCCCAUUGAAUUUUUUUAAAGGCCGCAGUAUUUUGACUGUGCAAAGGUAGCAUAAUCAAUAGUCUUUUAAUUGAAGACUAGUAUGAAUGGUUGAAUAAAAUAAAUACUUUUUUUAAAAAAUUAUUUUAAUUUUUUUUUUUUGUUAAAAAUCUAAAAUAACUUUUAAAGACGAUAAGACCCUAUAAAGCUUUAUAUUUUUUUAAGUAAAAUUCAUUAGAAUUUUAAUAUUUUUAUUUAAAAAAAUAUUUUAUUGGGGUGAUAAUAAAAUUUAAAAACUUUUAUUUUUUAAAUUUAAUUUUAUUUAAAUAUUUUUUUUUUGAUCCAAUAUUUGAUUAAAAAUUUAAGUUACUUUAGGGAUAACAGCGUUAUUUUUUUAGAGAGUUCUAAUCGAUAAAAAAUAUUGCGACCUCGAUGUUGGACUAAGAGUAAUUUUUGGUGUAGAAGUUAAAAAUUUUAGUCUGUUCGACUAUUAAAUUCUUACGUGAUCUGAGUUCAAACCGGUUUAAGCCAGGUUGGUUUCUAUCUUAAAAUUUUUUGUUAUAUUUUAGUACGAAAGGACCAAGUAUAAAUUUUUUAAAAUAUUUUUUUUUGAUUACUAUUAAAUUUUUUUAAAAAAAAUUAUUUUUUUUGUUCUUAUUGUUUUAA